This 1226-nucleotide ribosomal RNA is filed under the name Glutamicibacter nicotianae. Its description in RNAcentral is "bacterial SSU rRNA". It matches the Rfam family "Bacterial small subunit ribosomal RNA", at positions 108 to 1336 of the family's 1533-position model. Lineage: Bacteria; Bacillati; Actinomycetota; Actinomycetes; Micrococcales; Micrococcaceae. The record is from RNAcentral.
AAACAACGUUUGAGUUAACCUAGCCCCCGACUCUGCGGUAUUAUAUGCCCGGGAAACUGGGUCUAAUACCGGAUAUGACCUCGCACCGCAUGGUGCGGGGUGGAAAGAUUUAUCGGUGGGGGAUGGACUCGCGGCCUAUCAGCUUGUUGGUGAGGUAAUUUGUUCACCAAGGCGACGACGGGUAGCCGGCCUGAGAGGGUGACCGGCCACACUGGGACUGAGACACGGCCCAGACUCCUACGGGAGGCAGCAGUGGGGAAUAUUGCACAAUGGGCGAAAGCCUGAUGCAGCGACGCCGCGUGAGGGAUGACGGCCUUCGGGUUGUAAACCUCUUUCAGUAGGGAAGAAGCGAAAGUGACGGUACCUGCAGAAGAAGCGCCGGCUAACUACGUGCCAGCAGCCGCGGUAAUACGUAGGGCGCAAGCGUUAUCCGGAUUUAUUGGGCGUAAAGAGCUCGUAGGCGGUUUGUCGCGUCUGCCGUGAAAGUCCGAGGCUCAACCUCGGAUCUGCGGUGGGUACGGGCAGACUAGAGUGAUGUAGGGGAGACUGGAAUUCCUGGUGUAGCGGUGAAAUGCGCAGAUAUCAGGAGGAACACCGAUGGCGAAGGCAGGUCUCUGGGCAUUUACUGACGCUGAGGAGCGAAAGCAUGGGGAGCGAACAGGAUUAGAUACCCUGGUAGUCCAUGCCGUAAACGUUGGGCACUAGGUGUGGGGGACAUUCCACGUUUUCCGCGCCGUAGCUAACGCAUUAAGUGCCCCGCCUGGGGAGUACGGCCGCAAGGCUAAAACUCAAAGGAAUUGACGGGGGCCCGCACAAGCGGCGGAGCAUGCGGAUUAAUUCGAUGCAACGCGAAGAACCUUACCAAGGCUUGACAUGUGCCAGACCGCUCCAGAGAUGGGGUUUCCCUUCGGGGCUGGUUCACAGGUGGUGCAUGGUUGUCGUCAGCUCGUGUCGUGAGAUGUUGGGUUAAGUCCCGCAACGAGCGCAACCCUCGUUCCAUGUUGCCAGCACGUAGUGGUGGGGACUCAUGGGAGACUGCCGGGGUCAACUCGGAGGAAGGUGGGGAUGACGUCAAAUCAUCAUGCCCCUUAUGUCUUGGGCUUCACGCAUGCUACAAUGGCCGGUACAAUGGGUUGCGAUACUGUGAGGUGGAGCUAAUCCCUAAAAGCCGGUCUAAAGUUCGGAUUGGGGUCUGCAACUCGACCCCAUGAAGUCGGUAGUCAGCU